UGCAGUAGGUUUACUAUGAUUGUCUUUUACCAGGGAGCACGGGCGCUGUUCUGAAGGCUUCCAGGACUCGGGCAGCAUUAUGGCUUUUAGGUAAAGUGACAUCCAUCUUUUACUGAUCUUGAUAUCUGAACCAACAAACAGAGGACUUUAAUCUUGGUGUAGGAAUUGAACUUGUUUUUGAAAAUACCAACUAUUACCAAACAACCUCAGCAUGGGUGUAACAGCGCGCUGUGAGUUUCGCUACAAACGGCUGCGAUGGUACAUUUUCCCUAGAGGAACAGUUCUGCAGGGACAGCAGGUGCCUGGUGGUCACCUGGGGGUCAGGCUAUAAGGACCUUCUUUGGCACUGGACUUUUCUCUCGCUUGGCUGACACUUCCUCGCCCCUGAUACUGGUCUGUGGAAUGCGGGCCCUCUGGGGCACCGGGGUUCCUCCACCCUCAGGGUUACUGCAGGACCCCGUUGCCCGCAGCUCAUCUCUUCCAGAGCACGCUGGGUCUCCUGGCGUCAGAAGGUGGCUCCCUCCGGGCUGGCGCGGGCUCCAGACCAACGCUCAGCGGCUCCCAGGCCAUCCUGCCUGCUCAGACAGGCCUCUUGAAGGAAGAAACCAGCUGGGCAUUUUUGUGCAUGCAGGACCUGCCUCCGCAAUGAUCUUAAGAUGUCACUGUAGCGUUUACAUCUUUUAUUUCAAGAUUUAAAUAACUAGGAAGUAGCUAAUGUAAUUCACUGCUGAGAAGAAAGACGGGCUUCUUGAAUCCUUUCCAAAGCCAUCUCCUCCUAAUGAACUUCUUUGGACUGUGAGUAAUGAGGCUUUAUUCAAAUAAUGUUUAAGGAAGGCUCUGUCCCUGUAAUUUCUAAAAAAAAGGACCG
RNAcentral lists this long non-coding RNA (868 nucleotides) under Dasypus novemcinctus (nine-banded armadillo). Its description in RNAcentral is "lncRNA (ENSDNOG00000051001.1)". The record is from RNAcentral. Lineage: Eukaryota; Metazoa; Chordata; Mammalia; Cingulata; Dasypodidae.